GACAUUUCUCUAUUCUUUUUCUUUCCAACAAGAUUUUCUAAUGGGAAAAUCUGUGAUGUGAAAGAAUGUGUCAGAGCGAAAUCAAAACAAACAAAAAUACUUCGCAAAUCAGUUCAUUUUGGUUUCGCAAAUUAAUUUGCAAAUUGCAACACUUUUCAAAUCUAGCUUCUUUAAAUAAUAGCAAUUGUAAUAGUUCGGAGCGGUGUUUCUUUCGUUCCUGUGUUAGUACCAGUCGCUGUCAAAACACCUUUGGAAAGAACUGACAAGCAACCAUCCCAGGCUGGUGGAUAGAGUCAAAGUCAACGGAAACGGUGAUGUGGCAGUUUUGGGAUGAAUAACGGACCAGGCAAAAUUCAACCAAAAAAGUUCCAACCAACAUUCCGCGGGACCCUGUAUACAUCAAGGAAGGCGAUACCAGUUCCGCCAUGGGAUGAAUGAUUAAAUAUAGGAAUGUCAACGGAAGGAAAUCGUCAAAUAAUGUGGAUUGCAAUUGCAAAAAGAAACGAGAUCAGAUAAAGAGAUGGCGAGCUACAGUACUAAUGCGUUUCUUCUAGUGUUGUGGGCAACGCUACUGCGAUCGGUCCGUGUUGCAGUGAAGUGAAAAUUGCAAUGAUAAUAACGACGUUUGGCAUUUAGGUAGAUAGCACUUCUUAGGAAGAACAACGACAAACGUAGCAACACGCCAGCAAUCGCUUGUGAUGCUUUCGGAGGAGGAUUUUGAGCACCUUAUUUGUAGGAGUGACUGCAGUAUCUGACCAAAAUGUUUAAUGACUUUUUAUUCGUGAGCAAAUGAUUACCGAUAAAUGGAACUAAUAAAAAUCGUACCCCAAAUGCAACAGAUGCUCGAUUCAAGACAAGAACAAUUGAAUGCCUGAAUUCACUAUUAUUCAAGAUUAAUCUCCUUCUAUGAAGUAAUAAAUUUAAGUUGGAAAUAAAG
Armigeres subalbatus is the source of this 937-nucleotide long non-coding RNA. RefSeq lists it as uncharacterized. The record is from RefSeq and is a predicted model, not a curated record. Lineage: Eukaryota; Metazoa; Arthropoda; Insecta; Diptera; Culicidae. The transcript is spliced from 3 exons.